CAGCAGCCGCGGGAAUACGUAGGUCCCGAGCGUUGUCCGGAUUUAUUGGGCGUAAAGCGCGCGUAGACGGUUUUGUAAGUCAGAUGUGAAAUCCCUGGGCUCAACCUGGGAACUGCAUUUGAUACUGCAUGGCUAGAGUAUCGAAGAGGGAAGUGGAAUUUCCGGUGUAGCGGUGAAAUGCGUAGAUAUCGGAAGGAACACCAGUGGCGAAAGCGACUUCCUGGUCGAAUACUGACGUUCAUGUGCGAAAGCGUGGGGAGCAAACAGGAUUAGAUACCCCCGUAGUCCCUGUCUCUUAUAC
RNAcentral lists this ribosomal RNA (301 nucleotides) under uncultured bacterium. RNAcentral describes it as "partial 16S ribosomal RNA". It matches the Rfam family "Bacterial small subunit ribosomal RNA", at positions 509 to 807 of the family's 1533-position model. The record is from RNAcentral.